RNAcentral lists this transfer RNA (16 nucleotides) under Cryptoblepharus nigropunctatus (Japanese snake-eyed skink). Its description in RNAcentral is "partial tRNA-Phe". The record is from RNAcentral. Lineage: Eukaryota; Metazoa; Chordata; Lepidosauria; Squamata; Scincidae.
AUAAAGAUGGGCACUG